AGCUUUGCUCAGUGGCAGUAUAUCAUAGCCAGUGAGGUUCAUCUGAGGCUCAAUUAUUGCUAAUUGAAAACUUUUCCCAAUACCUCACUAUGACAAGUUGCAAUACAGUUGGCUUUGCCAAUUUUUGACAGUCUCUAUGGAGA
RNAcentral lists this small nuclear RNA (143 nucleotides) under Microcebus murinus (gray mouse lemur). RNAcentral describes it as "U4 spliceosomal RNA (ENSMICG00000044767.1)". It matches the Rfam family "U4 spliceosomal RNA". Rfam says of the family: U4 small nuclear RNA (U4 snRNA) is a component of the major U2-dependent spliceosome. The structure of U4 snRNA from yeast and human has been reported. U4 snRNA presents a k-turn RNA motif in the 5p-SL related to recognition of Snu13 protein. The record is from Rfam by way of RNAcentral. Lineage: Eukaryota; Metazoa; Chordata; Mammalia; Primates; Cheirogaleidae.